AUUGAACGCUGGCGGCGUGCCUAACACAUGCAAGUCGAGCGGUAACGCGGGAGCAAUCCUGGCGACGAGCGGCGAACGGGUGAGUAAUGCUUCGGAAUCUUCCCAGUUGUGGGGAAUAACUAGCCGAAAGGUUAGCUAAUACCGCAUACGUCCUACGGGAGAAAGCAGGGGAUCGCAAGACCUUGCGCUAUUGGAUGAGCCGAAGUCGGAUUAGCUAGUUGGUAGGGUAACGGCCUACCAAGGCGACAAUCCGUAGCUGGUCUGAGAGGA
Molecule: ribosomal RNA, 270 nt
Filed under: uncultured bacterium
Lineage: Bacteria
Description: partial 16S ribosomal RNA
Rfam family: Bacterial small subunit ribosomal RNA
Source: RNAcentral